CGCAGGCCAGAGGACGCUC
RNAcentral lists this unclassified non-coding RNA (19 nucleotides) under Mus musculus (house mouse). RNAcentral describes it as "oocyte_clustered_small_RNA10023". The record is from RNAcentral. Lineage: Eukaryota; Metazoa; Chordata; Mammalia; Rodentia; Muridae.